GGUCCGUUGGUGUAAUUCGGGCAGCACACCUGGUUCUCAACCAGACGGCGCGAGUUCAAAUCUCGUACGGACUA
This 74-nucleotide transfer RNA is filed under the name Mycobacterium intracellulare. RNAcentral's name for it is "tRNA-Glu". It matches the Rfam family "tRNA". Rfam says of the family: Transfer RNA (tRNA) molecules are approximately 80 nucleotides in length. Their secondary structure includes four short double-helical elements and three loops (D, anti-codon, and T loops). Further hydrogen bonds mediate the characteristic L-shaped molecular structure. tRNAs have two regions of fundamental functional importance: the anti-codon, which is responsible for specific mRNA codon recognition, and the 3' end, to which the tRNAs corresponding amino acid is attached (by aminoacyl-tRNA synthetases). tRNAs cope with the degeneracy of the genetic code in two manners: having more than one tRNA (with a specific anti-codon) for a particular amino acid; and 'wobble' base-pairing, i.e. permitting non-standard base-pairing at the 3rd anti-codon position. The record is from RNAcentral. Lineage: Bacteria; Bacillati; Actinomycetota; Actinomycetes; Mycobacteriales; Mycobacteriaceae. RNAcentral also lists the same sequence under 1 other name.